GAGUGGAAAUAUUUUACAGAAAUGAUGGGUUAUAAGGUGAACAAUAGUAAGAGUUCCAAGGUAUUUCACUGAUGGAUUUUAUUUUUAGAGUUUUUUUUUUUCCCCUGGAAGGAAGCAACUUGGCAACAGUCCCUUUGGAAACGAGGGCCAUGCUAACUGUUCAUCAUAAGUUAUAACCAUUUACACAAAGGAACAACAAAAGCAAGUUUGGACAUGUUUAUUAAUUACCAAAGUUAUUUUUUAGUCCAUGACUUAUUUUUAUCCUACAGACACUUUAGGAAAUCAGAGAAAAACUAUUUUCCUUCAAGAUAUACUGAGAAAGUGUUCUAAAAUAUCCCACAAUGUGAAAGAUAAUGAGUGCUUUAUUUUAUUAUUUUUAUUUUUUAAUUUAUUUUUUUUUCUUUUGAGGGCUGCACUCACAGCAUAUGGAAGUUCCCAGGCUAGGUUUCAAAUCAGGGUUGCAGCUGCUGGCCUACACUAUAUCCACAGCAACACCAGAUCUGAGCUAUAUCUGCAACCUACACCAUAGCUCACGACAAUGCCAGGUCCUUACCCCACUGAGUGAGGCCAGAGAUCGAAUCUAUGUCCUCCUGGAUACUAGUCAGGCUCAUUACCACUGAACCACAAUGGGAACUCCAGUGGUGUUUUAUUUUAAAAUUACUUCUAGGAGUUUCCAUCAUGGCUCAGUGGAAAUGAAUCUGACUAGCAUCCAUGAGGAUACAGGUUCAAUCCCUUGCCUCGCUCAGUGCGUAAUGGAUCUGGCAUUUCCGUGAGAUAUGAGAUAGGUCACAGACAUGGCUCAGAUCCCAGACUGGUAUGGCUGUGGUGUAGGCCAGCAGCUACAGCUCCGAUUCCACCCCUAGCCUAGGAACCUCCAUAUGCUUUGGGUGCGGCCCUAAAAAGACAAUAAAUAAAUAAAUAAAUAAAAUUAUAUCUCGAUAUCUCUCAUUCUUUAAUGACAAUGACUAGAAUACUGUAGAAAAGAACGCAUAGGGAGAUUCCUUGGUGGAAAAGAAAUAGGAAGUUGUUCCUAAAAUGACUCCUCCUUUUUAUUUCAAAGGACGACAUCAUUGGGGUUGCCAAACUUUUUAUUAUAGUUUUGAUGAAGUGACUUCACUCCAGAAAGUGACCACACUUUUUAAGGACUGUGGGGUCAUGACCAAGCAGGGAAAAGCUGGCCUGGCAGCUAUGAGGUCAAGAGAUGCCAGUGCUGAGUUAAGUUGGUAAUAUUAGCGUGUGAUAAUUGAAUUUGUGGAUUACUUAUUUUCUUCCUACUUUCAAAAGGAAUGUAAGUGACAUAUAAUAAAAGACACAGACACAUUAAGGGAAUCCUGUGAGGCAGCAAGUUAAACAUCAUGUGGAGGGUGCUUUGUGAACAGCCUCCCUGGCUGGCAGUGCCUGAAGCUUCCUCUCCCACCUGGCCCCUCUGAUGACUCUGAAUAGAGUUCCUAAUUCUUUCUCUGAGGAAACGACACCUAUUGUUCAUGACAUAAUGGGAGUCUUUUUUUCCUUUCCUCUUUCCAACUCCUUUUAAAUUCAAAGUACAAUUUACAUACAUGAAAUGUACAGAUUGUAAAUGGUGAAUUUGAUGAGUUUUGACAAAUGUAUGCAUCCAUUUGACCCACACCCCAAUUAAAAUAUAGACCAUUUCCAGAAAAUUCUUAUGCCUCCUAAGAGAGAAAUUGUGGUUGUAAAAAUAAUUUAUUUGCUUUCCUUUGUUACCAGAUAACACUUUUUGUGGCCUCCUUUGCCAGAUACCGUGAGUCAAGAGUAUGGAACCUAUAGUACUUUCCAUGACCUUGGGUGAUAGUGUGUUUAAUGAAUUUCAAGGUGGUAAUUAUAGCUGACAUUGUUAUGUAAGUUCUGAAAAUAAGACGAUGUGGUCAGAAUGCCUAGGUUCUCAAUAUAAAACCUUUGUUUUGCUUGAUGUAGGAGCAAUGUGUUGACAUGCAUUAAACAGAAUGGAUUCUAAUGCCAAGGGUGUUCCCGGGCUAUAGGGCAGGAAAUAUUGGGAGCUGCUUUUAAUGACUCUCCUGUUGGUUAAGCAAAGCCCUGUGUCUCUCAAAGGAGUGAACUUAAUUUUAGGAAGAGAAAGCACUGGGGAAAUAAAGUUGCAUAGGGGUAACCAGGCAGAAUUCUGCAUGUUUUUAUAGCUAGCCCUUGAAAAGUCUUUGAGCGGAGUAUAUCAUUUGCACCAUGAAGUAGCCUGGUUGUGUGAUGGCCAUGCUGAAAAGUCGCUCAACCAAGGUUUUGUUGAGAGGCUCCCAAAUGCCGUCUCUGGUAGAGCCUGUGUAGAUUUAAUAGCAAACAGUUACUGAACAUGCUUAGACUUUGGGGACCAAAGCCAUAUGUAGACACUGUCUACAGAAUUCCACUCUAGCCACCAGACCCGUGAAAGCACUUGUUAGGGAAAGAGAGAGAUAGAGAUUUAUCCUGCUUUUAAAAAUUAAAGACGCCUUUCCUAUACUAGGGCCUCCUGAGAAACAUGAACUUUUCUUUAACUGCAGUUAGUGCCAGUGGCAGAAGUACCACCAGGGGAGUUGUGUAGCUGAAACUGGGUUGAGGUGCUACAGUUUAUUUUAGAUUAAUGGGUUUCUCUGGUUUCAUUCCCAAAGUCCCCAACCAAGAGAUGUGGAUGUUUCUCCAGUCCUGGAACCAUUCUGCUUGCCCUGACUUGCCAGACUGAUUCUGCCUGCAGAUGUCAUCAUUCAUUUCUCUGGGGGCUUAGGGGUUGUUUUGAUUUAGGGAUAAAAGCUGGAGCAUGAAAGCAUAAUAGUUUCCCACUGGGAAACUGGUCUGACUAAAAUUUGUCAGUAUAUUUGUAGAAACUCCUUGCAUAACUUCAAGUAUACAUGUAUUCUCAAGUCACCGCAACUAAUGAUACUUAACCCUGCGGGAGGAAUUUUGGAAUUUCGAGAACAUUUGGCAUUAUUCUGGUAUAGGAAUCCACACUGGACAGAGGAGCUGGGGGCCAGUGUUCUAGCCCCUACUCCAUCACUAAAUUGAUGGGUCACUUGCAAAACAAGGAAAUUAUAAAGAGAUACCUUCUUAGGUCUUUUCCUGCUAAAUUUCUAGAUAGACAGCAUCAAAAUCAGAUUCAAUUUUAUGGGGAUGGAGUAAAAAUUUCGGGAUUGGCCAUAAUGAUCACCUGAAACUCAUAAAAAUUUCCAUCAGCAAAUCUUUAAUUGAACAUUACUUAUGAUUUUUGUAAUGAUAAAGUAGCUUAUAUAGGUCAUUCUGCUUAGAUAUCUCUAAAAUCUGGUUAAAUUGCAAA
This 3274-nucleotide long non-coding RNA is filed under the name Sus scrofa (pig). RNAcentral's name for it is "lncRNA (ENSSSCG00015031266.1)". Lineage: Eukaryota; Metazoa; Chordata; Mammalia; Artiodactyla; Suidae. The record is from RNAcentral.